AGUGAACGCUGGCGGUAGGCCUAACACAUGCAAGUCGAACGGCAGCACAGUAAGAGCUUGCUCUUACGGGUGGCGAGUGGCGGACGGGUGAGGAAUACAUCGGAAUCUACUUUUUCGUGGGGGAUAACGUAGGGAAACUUACGCUAAUACCGCAUACGACCUACGGGUGAAAGCAGGGGAUCUUCGGACCUUGCGCGAUUGAAUGAGCCGAUGUCGGAUUAGCUAGUUGGCGGGGUAAAGGCCCACCAAGGCGACGAUCCGUAGCUGGUCUGAGAGGAUGAUCAGCCACACUAGAACUGAGACACGGUCCAGACUCCUACGGGAGGCAGCAGUGGGGAAUAUUGGACAAUGGGCGCAAGCCUGAUCCAGCCAUACCGCGUGGGUGAAGAAGACCUUCGGGUUGUAAAGCCCUUUUGUUGGGAAAGAAAAGCAGCAGGUUAAUACCCCGCUGUUCUGACGGUACCCAAAGAAUAAGCACCGGCUAACUUCGUG
Molecule: ribosomal RNA, 492 nt
Filed under: uncultured bacterium
Lineage: Bacteria
Description: partial 16S ribosomal RNA
Rfam family: Bacterial small subunit ribosomal RNA
Source: RNAcentral